Non-coding RNA from Rattus norvegicus (Norway rat), 69 nucleotides. The record is from Rfam. NCBI's taxonomy places the organism in Eukaryota, Metazoa, Chordata, Mammalia, Rodentia, Muridae.
GGGGAUUUAGCUCAGUGAUAGAGCACUUGCCUAGCAAGCACAAGGCCCUGGGUUCGGUCCCCAGCUCCG